RNAcentral lists this unclassified non-coding RNA (358 nucleotides) under Melitaea cinxia (Glanville fritillary). RNAcentral's name for it is "misc RNA ENSMCXG00005013551.1". Lineage: Eukaryota; Metazoa; Arthropoda; Insecta; Lepidoptera; Nymphalidae. The record is from RNAcentral.
CAAGUCCUGAGCAUCGUGUCCGCGCUCCCUGAAGUGCAGCGGCGGAGGAGCGGAGGCGGAACAGAAAGAAGAUAUAAAUACAAUGCUGAAGAAAUGAACUCCACCAAGUUAUAUGGUUAUGUCUUUGAUUAGUGAUACACGUGUUGAAUUAUAAACAGACUGAUUCAUUUAAUGGAACUAACGGGCUGUUCGAAAGUUAAAUUUUUUCACAAAGUUUUCUUGGAAUUUUUAGGAUGUUGUUGAGGCGCUUCUUUACCGUUUUAUGACAAAGGAAUAAAAACGUUAACGUAAUUUGUUACAUAAUUUUUUAUUUUAAGAAAAAAUAUGUACGUUAAAAUAUGAUUAAGAUUUAAAUGAG